Molecule: ribosomal RNA, 466 nt
Filed under: uncultured bacterium
Lineage: Bacteria
Description: partial 16S ribosomal RNA
Rfam family: Bacterial small subunit ribosomal RNA
Source: RNAcentral
GACGAACGCUGGCGGCGUGCUUAACACAUGCAAGUCGAACGGAAAGGCCCUGCUUGCAGGGUACUCGAGUGGCGAACGGGUGAGUAACACGUGGGUGAUCUGCCCUGCACUUCGGGAUAAGCUUGGGAAACUGGGUCUAAUACCGGAUAGGAACCAUCUUUAGUGUGGUGGUUGGAAAGUUUUUUCGGUGUAGGAUGAGCUUGCGGCCUAUCAGCUUGUUGGUGGGGUAAUGGCCUACCAAGGCGGCGACGGGUAGCCGGCCUGAGAGGGUGUACGGCCACAUUGGGACUGGGAUACGGCCCAGACUCCUACGGGAGGCAGCAGUGGGGAAUAUUGCACAAUGGGCGCAAGCCUGAUGCAGCGACGCCGCGUGGGGGAUGAAGGCCUUCGGGUUGUAAACUCCUUUCGCUAGGGACGAAGCUUUGUUGUGACGGUACCUAGAUAAGAAGCACCGGCUAACUACGUG